AGCGAACGCUGGCGGCAGGCCUAACACAUGCAAGUCGAACGAAGUCUUCGGACUUAGUGGCGGACGGGUGAGUAACACGUGGGAACGUACCUUUUGGUUCGGAACAACUCAGGGAAACUUGAGCUAAUACCGGAUGAGCCCUUAGGGGGAAAGAUUUAUCGCCGAAAGAGCGGCCCGCGUUAGAUUAGCUAGUUGGUGAGGUAAAGGCUCACCAAGGCUACGAUCUAUAGCUGGUCUGAGAGGAUGAUCAGCAACACUGGGACUGAGACACGGCCCAGACUCCUACGGGAGGCAGCAGUGGGGAAUCUUGCGCAAUGGGCGAAAGCCUGACGCAGCCAUGCCGCGUGAAUGAUGAAGGUCUUAGGACUGUAAAAUUCUUUUACCAGGGACGAUAAUGACGGUACCUGGAGAAAAAGCCCCGGCUAACUUCGUGCCAGCAGCAGCCGCCG
This 449-nucleotide ribosomal RNA is filed under the name uncultured bacterium. RNAcentral's name for it is "partial 16S ribosomal RNA". It matches the Rfam family "Bacterial small subunit ribosomal RNA", at positions 29 to 523 of the family's 1533-position model. The record is from RNAcentral.